ACGAACGCUGGCGGCGUGCUUAACACAUGCAAGUCGAACGGAAAGGCCCUGCUUUUUUGGGGUGCUCUAUUGGCGAACGGGUGAGUAACACGUGAGUAACCUGCCCUUUACUUUUGGAUAACUUCUGGAAACUGGGGCUACUACCGGAUAGGAGCUUCUUCUGCCUGGUGGGGGUUGGAUAGUUUCGGCUGUUGGGGAUUGUCUCGCGGCUUAUCAGCUUGUUUGUGUGGUAGUGUCUUACCAAAGCUUUGCCGGGUAGCCGGCCUGAGAGGGUGACCGGGCACAAGGGGACUGAGAAACGGCCCAGACGCCAACGGGAGGCAGAAGUGGGGAAUAUUGCACAAUGGGGGGAAGACUGAUGCAGCAACGCAGCGAGCGGGAAGACGGGCUACGGGGUGUAAACAGAUGUGGCAUGUGACGAAGAGUGAGUGACGGUAAUGGGUAAAGAAGCACCGGCUAACUACGUG
RNAcentral lists this ribosomal RNA (467 nucleotides) under uncultured bacterium. Its description in RNAcentral is "partial 16S ribosomal RNA". It matches the Rfam family "Bacterial small subunit ribosomal RNA", at positions 29 to 507 of the family's 1533-position model. The record is from RNAcentral.